This 253-nucleotide ribosomal RNA is filed under the name uncultured bacterium. Its description in RNAcentral is "partial 16S ribosomal RNA". It matches the Rfam family "Bacterial small subunit ribosomal RNA", at positions 524 to 776 of the family's 1533-position model. The record is from RNAcentral.
UACGGAGGGUGCAAGCGUUAUCCGGAUUCACUGGGUUUAAAGGGUGCGUAGGUGGAUUAAUAAGUCAGUGGUGAAAGCCCCGAGCUCAACUUGGGAAUUGCCAUUGAUACUGUUAGUCUUGAGUUCGGUUGAGGUAGGCGGAAUAAGUCAUGUAGCGGUGAAAUGCUUAGAUAUGACUUAGAACACCGAUUGCGAAGGCAGCUUACCAAGCCGACACUGACACUGAGGCACGAAAGCGUGGGGAUCAAACAGG